AGAGUUUGAUCCUGGCUCAGGAUGAACGCUAGCUACAGGCUUAACACAUGCAAGUCGAGGGGCAGCAUAACGAAAGCUUGCUUUUGUUGAUGGCGACCGGCGCACGGGUGAGUAACGCGUAUCCAACCUUCCCUAUAGUAGAGAAUAGCCCGGCGAAAGUCGGAUUAAUGCUCUAUGUUGUAUUUAGAAGACAUCUGAAGAAUACCAAAGGUUUACCGCUAUAGGAUGGGGAUGCGUCUGAUUAGGUAGUAGGCGGGGUAACGGCCCACCUAGCCGACGAUCAGUAGGGGUUCUGAGAGGAAGGUCCCCCACAUUGGAACUGAGACACGGUCCAAACUCCUACGGGAGGCAGCAGUGAGGAAUAUUGGUCAAUGGACGGAAGUCUGAACCAGCCAAGUAGCGUGCAGGAUGACGGCCCUAUGGGUUGUAAACUGCUUUUAUAUAGGGAUAAAGUCGGGGACGUGUCCCCGUUUGUAGGUACUAUAUGAAUAAGGACCGGCUAAUUCCGUGCCAGCAGCCGCGGUAAUACGGAAGGUCCAGGCGUUAUCCGGAUUUAUUGGGUUUAAAGGGAGCGCAGGCUGAUGAUUAAGCGUGACGUGAAAUGUAGCCGCUCAACGGCUGAACUGCGUCGCGAACUGGUUAUCUUGAGUGAGUUCGAUGUUGGCGGAAUUCGUGGUGUAGCGGUGAAAUGCUUAGAUAUCACGAAGAACUCCGAUUGCGAAGGCAGCCAACAAGGCCUUUACUGACGCUAAAGCUCGAAGGUGCGGGUAUCGAACAGGAUUAGAUACCCUGGUAGUCCGCACGGUAAACGAUGGAUGCCCGCUGUUUGCGAUAUACUGUGAGCGGCCAAGAGAAAUCGUUAAGCAUCC
RNAcentral lists this ribosomal RNA (869 nucleotides) under uncultured rumen bacterium. Its description in RNAcentral is "bacterial SSU rRNA". It matches the Rfam family "Bacterial small subunit ribosomal RNA", at positions 8 to 869 of the family's 1533-position model. The record is from RNAcentral.